This 274-nucleotide ribosomal RNA is filed under the name uncultured bacterium. RNAcentral's name for it is "partial 16S ribosomal RNA". It matches the Rfam family "Bacterial small subunit ribosomal RNA", at positions 523 to 796 of the family's 1533-position model. The record is from RNAcentral.
AUACAGAGGGUGCGAGCGUUAAUCGGAAUUACUGGGCGUAAAGCGCGCGUAGGCGGUCUAUUAAGUCAGAUGUGAAAUCCCAGGGCUCAACCUUGGAACUGCAUCUGAUACUGGUAGACUAGAGUUUUGGAGAGGGAAGUAGAAUUUCAGGUGUAGCGGUGAGAUGCAUAGAGAUCUGAAGGAAUACCAGUGGCGAAGGCGACUUCCUGGCCAAAAACUGACGCUGAGGUGCGAAAGCGUGGGUAGCAAACGGGAUUAGAAACCCUAGUAGUCC